This 253-nucleotide ribosomal RNA is filed under the name uncultured bacterium. Its description in RNAcentral is "partial 16S ribosomal RNA". It matches the Rfam family "Bacterial small subunit ribosomal RNA", at positions 524 to 776 of the family's 1533-position model. The record is from RNAcentral.
UACAUGGGGUGCAAACGUUGCUCGGAAUUAUUGGGCGUAAAGCGCGCGUAGGCGGUUAUCUAAGUCGGAUGUGAAAGCCCUCGGCUUAACUGAGGAAGUGCACCCGAAACUGGAUAGCUAGAGUACGAAAGAGGGUCGCGGAAUUCCCGGUGUAGAGGUGAAAUUCGUAGAUAUCAGGAGGAACACCGGUGGCGAAGGCGCACAUCUGGCCCGAUACUGACGCUGAGGCGCGAAAGCUAGGGGAGCAAACGGG